Molecule: long non-coding RNA, 1211 nt
Filed under: Sus scrofa (pig)
Lineage: Eukaryota; Metazoa; Chordata; Mammalia; Artiodactyla; Suidae
Description: lncRNA (ENSSSCG00055000438.1)
Source: RNAcentral
CGCUGCCUUUCUAGCUUUAGCUUUCCCAGCUUUUCAGGUGUCAAGCCAGAAAACAAAGCAAAUCUUCAGUGAUCUGGCCUAACCUGCACUGUUUGUCCCAUUUCCACAAGCCCAUCAGGUCUGAGCGUGGCCAGACUUUUCCUGUCCUGUGUCUCCUGUGCACUGCACAUUUGUCUGUGGUGCCCGCAGCACUGACUUUCUCAGGAAUGGUCAGCCUCCUCUCUCUCCUUGGGCCUCUCAGUGUCUGUACACAGGUUUAUUUUUUAUAUGAAGGCUCUAAGUCAGGCCAAGUUGUAUUUCUUUAUCUUGCUGACCUCUCUUGUCCACUGCUGGAGAACAAGGAUCUCCCCCUAUCUGUGACUUGGACCGUGGUCUGCACUUACGUGGGCGGUAAGCCAGAGACAGAAAACAUUUAAGGUCAUUUCAAAGGCAGUGUGCAAACGCAUCCUAAAAUGAACAUCUUCAGUUGAUGAUAUUAAUGCCACAGAGGAAAGUGCUGUGGGACCAACACUGGAAAGAGUAACUGCCGCAGUUUUACAAUUUGAAUGAUGAUGAUAUCAGUGACAACGAUGAAAUUUUGCAUCUCUUUUAAUAGACUAUGAAACAAUGUCACAGACCUUGUCAUUGUCAAAAGCAUCUUAAGGGAGAUGGUAGGGUUGGUCUUUGUGGGAUUUCAAACAGUUUAUGAAACUUUAAGUCUUUGCAGAGCUUUGAGUGGAAUCAAGGUAGGAAAAUCUAGGCCUUGAUCUUCUGGCAAACUGUGUAAUUUAUAAUUUAUAAUUUUAGAGAAAUUGUUGCCUUUCUGUACAAUUGUGUUCAAAAUGAUACAAUUUUAGGUUGAAUUAUUUAAAGUAAGUCGUAUCUUCUUACUCUAGCUAGAUUUGAAAGUUUUACCAUGGAUGUCGUCGACUUAGGAAGAUUUAUAACUGGAAGGAGCUUGACGUAGUUAUAGAGAACUUUUCAUUUGUAGAGAAUGUUGCAUUUCAUUAUUCAUGUGUUUCUCCAAACAGUGGCCUGCUGGAUAGCAACUCGGAGGAACACUCAGAAGGAGAAUACGGACAGGGCUGAGUCCAUGUUUAAGCUGGAAACUUUGGUGCUUCUCUGAGUCGAUCAAGAUGCUUUCUGAUAGAUUUACAGGGUCUCCACAACUCGGAAACAAACUAUAACAAGGCCUCACUAAUACAGCAAAUAAACUUUUCUAUAAGUAUUCA